GAAGGAGUACAAAGGAUGGUUUCUAACUACAGACCCAGUCUCUGCCAAAGCUCUUCAUGACCUGAACCUUUAAACAGAUCAGCUGUUCCUUUACCUGAUGGGAAGCAGCCACAAACCGGAUCCACCCAUCAUCCAAGGAGACAACGAACGCCCCUCUUUGCAGCUGCACAUUCACUUGGCCUCCUCCAAACAAGACUAAGGGGUACACAGACACCAUGCUGCAGUCUCGGAUGAACACCCGGCUAGUUUUGAUUUUCUCAUGGUACAACAGGUAGGGGCUGUCGAAGUGUCUGACCUGUAACACAAAACCUCCAAUGACAAUGAGGUCGAUGGCCACAUAAGGGGAUUCCUGGCAGUCCCAUGGAUUUCAGAGCUGCCCUUCCAUUAAGGACUCACAGUGAUCUUUCCUCUGAGCUUGCUGUUAUGUGUGACUUCCUAAUACCCAUUAGACAUCUAAUACCAUCUAAUGCUUUGCAAACCUCUCCUUGUUAGGGCUGGGGCUGUAGCUCAGUGACAGAACAUUUGCAUAGCAUACAUAAAGCCCUGGGUUCAAUCCCUAUUACCCUAGGAAACAAAUCAACGACAAUAAAAAACCCCUUUUGGUGGUGUUCAAAAGAAG
Mastomys coucha (southern multimammate mouse) is the source of this 619-nucleotide long non-coding RNA. RefSeq lists it as uncharacterized. Lineage: Eukaryota; Metazoa; Chordata; Mammalia; Rodentia; Muridae. The transcript is spliced from 2 exons. The record is from RefSeq and is a predicted model, not a curated record.